This is a long non-coding RNA of Zootermopsis nevadensis, 752 nucleotides long. RefSeq lists it as uncharacterized. The record is from RefSeq and is a predicted model, not a curated record. Lineage: Eukaryota; Metazoa; Arthropoda; Insecta; Blattodea; Termopsidae.
UGGGAGUGGACCAAUGGUAGCACGUGGGCGAGAGUGGGAGAGAAAGUAGAGAGAGGAAGGCAUAAUCGAAGACGCUAUUGAAUGUAUCAUAAUUGAAGACAAUGGAGUGGACAGCAGCAGCAGUAGUGAUGAAUUGAGUGAUGUCAGAAAAGGAAGGCCUAUCAGGAAUGGAAGAAUUGGAAGAGGACCGAAGAGUUGUGAAGAUAAAAUUAUCUACUACUCUCUGCAGUGCAGAGCAUUUGUUGCAAUGGAAACUCAAUGGUAAUACACAUACCUACUCAUGGCUGGUUGACGGAAUUCAGCGUAUCAGAUUGUACAGCGUCGAUCGAUAAAAAUGAUAAUAGUAAAUUUUGGGGGGGAAAAGAAGCGGGCAUUAUAUAAUUUAGGAGGGUUCACCGUACCAUCUGUACUGUCUUUCUGUAACAAAGAAUUUUCUUUGCUAUAUGGAUAUUUGUAUGGAUCUGAAAUGACUAUGGUAGAUGGUUGAGCUGGUUUUAUUUGCUACACAAUAUAAUACAAUUUCAUGUGACGGGUGUAGUUGUUCAAACUCCUGUAAAGUCUUAAAAAAAAGGUUGUAACUUGUGUACAUCAAGCCGCAGACAGAAGACACUUAUAACAGGUUCUACUGUAUGUAUCCAAUCCAGGAGGCUGCCCCCAUCACAGAACUUCUCAACAUGGCUCUCCACUGCACAGUUGAAAGUAAAUGUAAAGGAGUCCCACUAUGCGCCAUGUAGGCACUUGGGGGGGGGGGG